GCCCGGCCUGACCUCCCAACCCCCACUUCCCCUCUCCCCACCUCACCCUGCUCACCCACGCCCCGGUCACUGCAAGGGGAUGCUGCACCCCCUCAAGGUGAAGAGCUGAUUGAGGCUGCCAAGAGGAACGACUUCUGUAAGGCCUGUGCUGGUGUACCCGGCUGUGGGCCAGCGUGUGAGCUCGGGGAAGGAGGGGUGGCCCCAGGAGGUCCAGCCCUGCCAUGCCUCCUGCCCUCAGCUCCAGGAGCUGCACCGAGCUGGGGGCGACCUCAUGCACCGAGACGAGCAGAGUCGCACGCUCCUGCACCACGCAGUCAGCACUGGCAGCAAGGAUGUGGUCCGCUACCUGCUGGACCACGCCCCCCCAGAGAUCCUUGAUGCGGUGGAGGAAAACGGGGAGACCUGUUUGCACCAAGCAGCGGCCCUGGGCCAGCGCACCAUCUGCCACUACAUCGUGGAGGCCGGGGCCUCGCUCAUGAAGACAGACCAGCAG
RNAcentral lists this small RNA (493 nucleotides) under Pan troglodytes (chimpanzee). RNAcentral describes it as "processed transcript". The record is from RNAcentral. Lineage: Eukaryota; Metazoa; Chordata; Mammalia; Primates; Hominidae.